This 429-nucleotide ribosomal RNA is filed under the name Fusobacteriota bacterium. RNAcentral's name for it is "Fusobacteria bacterium partial 16S ribosomal RNA". It matches the Rfam family "Bacterial small subunit ribosomal RNA", at positions 355 to 776 of the family's 1533-position model. The record is from RNAcentral. Lineage: Bacteria; Fusobacteriati; Fusobacteriota.
UGGGGAAUAUUGCGCAAUGGGCGAAAGCCUGACGCAGCGACGCCGCGUGAGGGAUGAAGGUUUUCGGAUCGUAAACCUCUGUCAGAAGGGAAGAAACCGCACUGUGCUAAUCAGCAGUGCCUUGACGGUACCUUCAAAGGAAGCACCGGCUAACUCCGUGCCAGCAGCUGCGGUAAUACGGAGGGUGCAAGCGUUAAUCGGAAUUACUGGGCGUAAAGCGCACGUAGGCUGCUUUGUGAGUCAGGGGUGAAAUCCCACGGCUCAACCGUAGUACUGCCUUUGAUACUCCUUAGCUUGAAUCCGGGAGAGAGUGGCGGUAUUCCAGGUGUAGAAGUGAAAUCCGUAGAUGUCUGGAGGAACAUCGCUGGCGAAAGCGGCCUCCUGGUCCGAUAUUGGCGCUGAGGUGCGAAAGCGUGGGGAGCAAACAGG